CCCGCCGAGUCGCAGCCGCACGUGGACGGGAGCUCGACACCGCACGCCGCCGCCGCCCCGCGGAGGAGGAGGAGGCCACGGUGGCCGGCUGUGCCGGCGGGAGAGGGGGAAGAGGAGGCCGGCGAGCCGGUUGCCGCCGAGUCGCAGCUGCCCCACCACCCUUCCCCGCUCAAGCUCGUCGGAACCGUCGCCGUGUGCCCGUUUGCCCAGUGCCCUGUCCCUCUUGUUGAGGUGGCGAGACACGGAGGAUUCCAUGGGAAUCAUCGUGGAACAUGCCGAUCAAAGGCCUGCCAAGAUACAACAAAAAGAAAAACCGCCACCCUCGCCGCACUUCCUUCCCUCAGGAGAGAAGAUUUUCACGUCGUUGCUCUGUCCAUGGCCGCAUCGAUGCCAGCGGCGACAACGUCGUCGCUACGGAUUGUGGUCGUCUUCUCCAAUGUCACCGUGGACGAAACCAUCUUGGGCGCUGAAAGGAGAGGGAACCCCGCCGCUGCCGCGGAGGAGGAGGAUUAG
This 513-nucleotide long non-coding RNA is filed under the name Oryza sativa tropical japonica subgroup. Its description in RNAcentral is "lncRNA OsAzu_04g0003980". Lineage: Eukaryota; Viridiplantae; Streptophyta; Magnoliopsida; Poales; Poaceae. The record is from RNAcentral.